Molecule: ribosomal RNA, 1668 nt
Filed under: Escherichia coli
Lineage: Bacteria; Pseudomonadati; Pseudomonadota; Gammaproteobacteria; Enterobacterales; Enterobacteriaceae
Description: partial 23S ribosomal RNA
Rfam family: Bacterial large subunit ribosomal RNA
Source: RNAcentral
CGAAUGCUGACAUAAGUAACGAUAAAGCGGGUGAAAAGCCCGCUCGCCGGAAGACCAAGGGUUCCUGUCCAACGUUAAUCGGGGCAGGGUGAGUCGACCCCUAAGGCGAGGCCGAAAGGCGUAGUCGAUGGGAAACAGGUUAAUAUUCCUGUACUUGGUGUUACUGCGAAGGGGGGACGGAGAAGGCUAUGUUGGCCGGGCGACGGUUGUCCCGGUUUAAGCGUGUAGGCUGAUUUUCCAGGCAAAUCCGGAAAAUCAAGGCUGAGGCGUGAUGACGAGGCACUACGGUGCUGAAGCAACAAAUGCCCUGCUUCCAGGAAAAGCCUCUAAGCAUCAGGUAACAUCAAAUCGUACCCCAAACCGACACAGGUGGUCAGGUAGAGAAUACCAAGGCGCUUGAGAGAACUCGGGUGAAGGAACUAGGCAAAAUGGUGCCGUAACUUCGGGAGAAGGCACGCUGAUAUGUAGGUGAAGCGACUUGCUCGUGGAGCUGAAAUCAGUCGAAGAUACCAGCUGGCUGCAACUGUUUAUUAAAAACACAGCACUGUGCAAACACGAAAGUGGACGUAUACGGUGUGACGCCUGCCCGGUGCCGGAAGGUUAAUUGAUGGGGUUAGCGGUAACGCGAAGCUCUUGAUCGAAGCCCCGGUAAACGGCGGCCGUAACUAUAACGGUCCUAAGGUAGCGAAAUUCCUUGUCGGGUAAGUUCCGACCUGCACGAAUGGCGUAAUGAUGGCCAGGCUGUCUCCACCCGAGACUCAGUGAAAUUGAACUCGCUGUGAAGAUGCAGUGUACCCGCGGCAAGACGGAAAGACCCCGUGAACCUUUACUAUAGCUUGACACUGAACAUUGAGCCUUGAUGUGUAGGAUAGGUGGGAGGCUUUGAAGUGUGGACGCCAGUCUGCAUGGAGCCGACCUUGAAAUACCACCCUUUAAUGUUUGAUGUUCUAACGUUGGCCCGUUAUCCGGGUUGCGGACAGUGUCUGGUGGGUAGUUUGACUGGGGCGGUCUCCUCCUAAAGAGUAACGGAGGAGCACGAAGGUUGGCUAAUCCUGGUCGGACAUCAGGAGGUUAGUGCAAUGGCAUAAGCCAGCUUGACUGCGAGCGUGACGGCGCGAGCAGGUGCGAAAGCAGGUCAUAGUGAUCCGGUGGUUCUGAAUGGAAGGGCCAUCGCUCAACGGAUAAAAGGUACUCCGGGGAUAACAGGCUGAUACCGCCCAAGAGUUCAUAUCGACGGCGGUGUUUGGCACCUCGAUGUCGGCUCAUCACAUCCUGGGGCUGAAGUAGGUCCCAAGGGUAUGGCUGUUCGCCAUUUAAAGUGGUACGCGAGCUGGGUUUAGAACGUCGUGAGACAGUUCGGUCCCUAUCUGCCGUGGGCGCUGGAGAACUGAGGGGGGCUGCUCCUAGUACGAGAGGACCGGAGUGGACGCAUCACUGGUGUUCGGGUUGUCAUGCCAAUGGCACUGCCCGGUAGCUAAAUGCGGAAGAGAUAAGUGCUGAAAGCAUCUAAGCACGAAACUUGCCCCGAGAUGAGUUCUCCCUGACUCCUUGAGAGUCCUGAAGGAACGUUGAAGACGACGACGUUGAUAGGCCGGGUGUGUAAGCGCAGCGAUGCGUUGAGCUAACCGGUACUAAUGAACCGUGAGGCUUAACCUUACAACGCCGAAG